ACUCCUACGGGAGGCAGCAGUGGGGAAUAUUGGACAAUGGGGGCAACCCUGAUCCAGCAAUGCCGCGUGUGUGAAGAAGGCCUGAGGGUUGUAAAGCACUUUCAGUAGUGAGGAAAGGUUCUUGUUUAAGAGAUGAGGGCUGUGACGUUAGCUACAGAAGCAGCACCGGCUAACUCCGUGCCAGCAGCCGCGGUAAUACGGAGGGUGCAAGCGUUAAUCGGAAUUACUGGGCGUAAAGGGCGCGUAGGUUGUUUGAUAAGUUGGCUGUGAAAGCCCCGGGCUUAACCUGGGAAUGCCAGUCAAAACUGUCAGACUAGAGUACAGUAGAGGGUGGUGGAAUUUCCAGGUGUAGCGGUGAAAUGCGUAGAGAUCAGGAAGGAACACCAGUGGCGAAGGCGGCCACCUGGACUGAUACUGACACUGAGGCGCGAAAGCGUGGGUAGCGAACAGGAUUAGAUACCCUGGGUAGGCUCUG
This 475-nucleotide ribosomal RNA is filed under the name uncultured bacterium. RNAcentral's name for it is "bacterial SSU rRNA". It matches the Rfam family "Bacterial small subunit ribosomal RNA", at positions 335 to 799 of the family's 1533-position model. The record is from RNAcentral.